RNAcentral lists this transfer RNA (83 nucleotides) under Verrucomicrobiota bacterium. RNAcentral's name for it is "tRNA-Leu". It matches the Rfam family "tRNA". From Rfam's summary of the family: Transfer RNA (tRNA) molecules are approximately 80 nucleotides in length. Their secondary structure includes four short double-helical elements and three loops (D, anti-codon, and T loops). The record is from RNAcentral. Lineage: Bacteria; Pseudomonadati; Verrucomicrobiota.
GCUUGGAUGGUGGAAUGGUAGACACUAAGGACUUAAAAUCCUUUGGUAGCAAUACCGUGCGGGUUCGAGUCCCGCUCCGAGCA